Sinocyclocheilus anshuiensis is the source of this 1008-nucleotide long non-coding RNA. RefSeq lists it as uncharacterized. The record is from RefSeq and is a predicted model, not a curated record. Lineage: Eukaryota; Metazoa; Chordata; Actinopteri; Cypriniformes; Cyprinidae. The transcript has 2 exons.
UGCAGAUGUGGGCCAUUUUGAUAGCCGUGGUUGUUGUCAUUAUUGUCGUCAUUAUCAUCUGGACGCAGUCAUAAAGUCAGAAAUCUGGUUAUGAUUGGAAGAAAAGAUCAGGAUUUGAAGUAGUAUCGACUUCAGAAGGAAAAGAGAGAUAUAACGGAUGAAUGAAUGAAUGCUCUUCCAAUACGUUCUAACCUGCUGAUUUUCAAAAGCAUAUCUUGUAAACUAUCCUCAAUGGGUUGUUUUUUUUUUUCUUUUCUUUUUUAGGUUUUGUUUUUAAUAACUAGAAUUUGAAUAUGUUUCAGAAUGCCAUUUCCAUACACCUCUAACACACUCCUCUGUGCAAACCAUAGAAUAAUAACUGACAGUGUACAGGUUACAAAAUGAUCCAAAACCAUUAACGCAUACUUUCAUGAUAAUAUGAGAGUCAUUUCGCUAUCAUUUGGAGGUCAAAACAUAUUGAUCAAAACUCUUGUUGUGAAAGCCAUUUGCCAUGAUCUCAUUGAUGAAUCCCUCAUGGACUCUUUCAGUGGACGGCAGUAAUCAGACACUCUUGUUUUGGCUGCGUCAGAGUCUUUCUGUGCCAACAAGACAUAAGAGCCUUUCCUGAACAACCACAGACGUGCCUUUAAACAACUCCACUGCCAUCCCGUAACAACAGCACACAACUUUGCUCUGAUUUUACUCAGAAUGUCUGCAUAAAAAUGUUGUAUGUAAGUUUGAUAACUUCUUCAAAGAUUGAAUUUUGAAGUGAUAAUUCACUAAUAAUUUAACUGCAUUAUAUGUGUUUCCUUAUGUAGAAAUAGUUUGCUAGGAAAUAUCUUUGCUCGCCUCUCGCUCACGGUGCCAAAACAUUUUAUUUUUGUUUAUCUGAGCUUUUUUUGUAUGCAUCUCUUUGUAUAUCUCACAUGUGUAUACAUUGUAAACAAAUGCAAUUCUAUACUGUGGCCUUACAAACUGUUAAGCAUGUUGAAUUGCCCGUGUUGGCUCAAUAAAACAGAUUUAACAUCC